RNAcentral lists this long non-coding RNA (375 nucleotides) under Piliocolobus tephrosceles (Ugandan red Colobus). RNAcentral's name for it is "lncRNA (ENSPTEG00000009464.1)". The record is from RNAcentral. Lineage: Eukaryota; Metazoa; Chordata; Mammalia; Primates; Cercopithecidae.
CAGAAACUUGGGAGGGGCAAGGAAGCAACCGUGUGGAAUGAGGGGUGCAAUCUGGUUUCAGUUCUUUGAUUCUUUUGUGAGAGGCCUGAAGGUCAUUUCCUGAGGAAGAAACUCAGAUGAAACAACUGUAAGUAUCAAGCUUUUAAGACCAGGAGGGUCAAUUUCUAUGUUUAUCAAAAAGGACAGUCUAUUGGGCAACUGGGUGAGUUUCAGUGGGAAAUCUCAAAUUUGUGAAAUGCAUGAGGAAACAGCCUUGCAAUUGUGACUGACAAUUUUCUUAGAAUACUUCGAAAGUUUCCUUUAGCUCUCAUUUUCCUCUCCCUGGAUUCAUGUGAAAACAAUGCCCAGUAGAAUUGCAGAAUCACUUGCAAACCG